Long non-coding RNA from Daucus carota subsp. sativus, 908 nucleotides. RefSeq lists it as uncharacterized. The record is from RefSeq and is a predicted model, not a curated record. NCBI's taxonomy places the organism in Eukaryota, Viridiplantae, Streptophyta, Magnoliopsida, Apiales, Apiaceae. The transcript has 3 exons.
CAAUGGGACCCACAGACCAAUAAUUGAGUUAAAAAGCCCUGUUUUGAUGAUUAUCUUGAAAACUAGUACCGAUUGGACCCCGCUUUAUUAAUAUAAAGCUACUAAAUACGUAUUUUCAUGUCAUAAACGAUCCAAAGGGGUACCAAUUAUUUGUAAAUAUAAAUAGACCUUCCUAGAGUUGAUUUUCACCGUAGAAAUCAUUUCACCACUUUCUCUGCACGAAUACCGAGAGAAACCGAGCGGUGUUCUUCGUGUUCUUCAUAAUCAAACGAAGAUUUGAAGGCGUUAUUGGAGUCAGAAUCAAGCGUGCGAGUAGUCAAAUCGAAGAUAUUGAAGAGUAGAACUCAAAUCAAUCAUCAAAAACAACCUGAGAUUCACAGGGUUUGGACGAGACGUGGAUGACCGAAGACGUUCAGAAGGACAAGUGGUAUUGCAAAGCAAAUAAGGGAGGAAUCGAGUAAGCGAAGCGAUGUGACGAAUAGAGUAUAGCUAGAGAUGGUCUAGAGAUUACGAGAUGCAUAGAUUGUGAAAGUUGAAAGAUGAGAAUGAGCUGUGAAACUGGAGUCAGAUUUAAGAAAGGCUGAAAGAUGAGAUGAUUGAUUGAGAUUGGGAAUAAGGCUAAUGCUAGGCGAGGAGACAGAGUUGAGGAUCCAGUGGUCGAGGAGUGUUCAGGAAAGUUGAUGAGGUUGGUGCAAGCUGAAAUAGUUGACAGUGAUUCUUCUUAUCGAAGAUGAUCUGACUUGGUAAGAGAUGUUGUGUAGUAUUAGUGGUGGAUUCUAAUUUCAAUACUGUAACCUGGAAGCGAUCCUGUUGUUUUGGGGGUGAAGAUGUUCUCUUUCGGAAUCAAUUAUUAAAGUUUAAAUGUUAUCAUUCAAUUCUUUUAUUAUGGUUUUCAAGUUUGAAAUUCA